RNAcentral lists this ribosomal RNA (496 nucleotides) under uncultured bacterium. RNAcentral describes it as "partial 16S ribosomal RNA". It matches the Rfam family "Bacterial small subunit ribosomal RNA", at positions 29 to 507 of the family's 1533-position model. The record is from RNAcentral.
AUGAACGCUGGCGGCGUGCCUCAUACAUGCAAGUCGAGCGAACGGACGAGAAGCUUGCUUCUCUGAUGUUAGCGGCGGACGGGUGAGUAACACGUGGAUAACCUACCUAUAAGACUGGGAUAACUUCGGGAAACCGGAGCUAAUACCGGAUAAUAUUUUGAGCCGCAUGGUUCAAAAGUGAAAGACGGUCUUGCUGUCACUUAUAGAUGGAUCCGCGCUGCAUUAGCUAGUUGGUAAGGUAACGGCUUACCAAGGCAACGAUGCAUAGCCGACCUGAGAGGGUGAUCGGCCACACUGGAACUGAGACACGGUCCAGACUCCUACGGGAGGCAGCAGUAGGGAAUCUUCCGCAAUGGGCGAAAGCCUGACGGAGCAACGCCGCGUGAGUGAUGAAGGUCUUCGGAUCGUAAAACUCUGUUAUUAGGGAAGAACAUAUGUGUAAGUAACUGUGCACAUCUUGACGGUACCUAAUCAGAAAGCCACGGCUAACUACGUG